GAUGAACGCUGGCGGCGUGCCUAAUACAUGCAAGUCGAGCGAACAGACGAGGAGCUUGCUCCUCUGACGUUAGCGGCGGACGGGUGAGUAACACGUGGAUAACCUACCUAUAAGACUGGGAUAACUUCGGGAAACCGGAGCUAAUACCGGAUAAUAUAUUGAACCGCAUGGUUCAAUAGUGAAAGACGGUUUUGCUGUCACUUAUAGAUGGAUCCGCGCCGCAUUAGCUAGUUGGUAAGGUAACGGCUUACCAAGGCAACGAUGCGUAGCCGACCUGAGAGGGUGAUCGGCCACACUGGAACUGAGACACGGUCCAGACUCCUACGGGAGGCAGCAGUAGGGAAUCUUCCGCAAUGGGCGAAAGCCUGACGGAGCAACGCCGCGUGAGUGAUGAAGUUCUUCGGAUCGUAAAACUCUGUUAUUAGGGAAGAACAAAUGUGUAAGUAACUAUGCACGUCUUGACGGUACCUAAUCAGAAAGCCACGGCUAACUACGUG
RNAcentral lists this ribosomal RNA (497 nucleotides) under uncultured bacterium. RNAcentral describes it as "partial 16S ribosomal RNA". It matches the Rfam family "Bacterial small subunit ribosomal RNA", at positions 28 to 507 of the family's 1533-position model. The record is from RNAcentral.